UAGAGUUUGAUCCUGGCUCAGGACGAACGCUGGCGGCGCGCCUAACACAUGCAAGUCGAACGAGCGAGAGGAGGUUUACUUUCUCAAGCGAGUGGCGAACGGGUGAGUAACGCGUGAGGAACCUGCCUCAAAGAGGGGGACAACAGUUGGAAACGACUGCUAAUACCGCAUAAGCCCACGACCCGGCAUCGGGUAGAGGGAAAAGGAGCAAUCCGCUUUGAGAUGGCCUCGCGUCCGAUUAGCUAGUUGGUGAGGUAAUGGCCCACCAAGGCGACGAUCGGUAGCCGGACUGAGAGGUUGAACGGCCACAUUGGGACUGAGACACGGCCCAGACUCCUACGGGAGGCAGCAGUGGGGAAUAUUGCACAAUGGGGGAAACCCUGAUGCAGCGACGCCGCGUGGAGGAAGAAGGUCUUCGGAUUGUAAACUCCUGCUGUUGAGGAAGAUAAUGACGGUACUCAACAAGGAAGUGACGGCUAACUACGUGCCAGCAGCCGCGGUAAAACGUAGGUCACAAGCGUUGUCCGGAAUUACUGGGUGUAAAGGGAGCGCAGGCGGGAAGGCAAGUUGGAAGUGAAAUCCAUGGGCUCAACCCAUGAACUGCUUUCAAAACUGUUUUUCUUGAGUAGUGCAGAGGUAGGCGGAAUUCCCGGUGUAGCGGUGGAAUGCGUAGAUAUCGGGAGGAACACCAGUGGCGAAGGCGGCCUACUGGGCACCAACUGACGCUGAGGCUCGAAAGUGUGGGUAGCAAACAGGAUUAGAUACCCUGGUAGUCCACACUGUAAACGAUGAUUACUAGGUGUUGGAGGAUUUGACCCCUUCAGGUGCCGCAGUUUAACACAAUAAGUAAAUCCACCUGGGGAGUACGACCGCAAGGUUGAAACUCAAAGGAAUUGACGGGGGCCCGCACAAGCAGUGGAGUAUGUGGUUUAAUUCGACGCAACGCGAAGAACCUUACCAAGUCUUGACAUCCUGCGACGCACAUAGAAAUAUGUGUUUCCUUCGGGACGCAGAGACAGGUGGUGCAUGGUUGUCGUCAGCUCGUGUCGUGAGAUGUUGGGUUAAGUCCCGCAGCGAGCGCAACCCUUAUGGUCAGUUACUACGCAAGAGGACUCUGGCCAGACUGCCGUUGACAAAACGGAGGAAGGUGGGGAUGACGUCAAAUCAUCAUGCCCUUUAUGACUUGGGCUACACACGUACUACAAUGGCGUUAAACAAAGAGAAGCAAGACCGCGAGGUGGAGCAAAACUCAGAAACAACGUCCCAGUUCGGACUGCAGGCUGCAACUCGCCUGCACGAAGUCGGAAUUGCUAGUAAUCGCAGAUCAGCAUGCUGCGGUGAAUACGUUCCCGGGCCUUGCACACACCGCCCGUCA
RNAcentral lists this ribosomal RNA (1375 nucleotides) under uncultured bacterium. Its description in RNAcentral is "16S ribosomal RNA". It matches the Rfam family "Bacterial small subunit ribosomal RNA". The record is from RNAcentral.